UACCUUUAACAGGGGGAUAACACUGAGAAAUUGGUACUAAUACCCCAUAAUAUCAUAGAAGGCAUCUUUUAUGGUUGAAAAAUUCCGAUGGUUAGAGAUGGGCAUGCGUUGUAUUAGCUAGUUGGUGGGGUAACGGCUCACCAAGGCGACGAUACAUAGGGGGACUGAGAGGUUAACCCCCCACACUGGUACUGAGACACGGACCAGACUCCUACGGGAGGCAGCAGUGAGGAAUAUUGGUCAAUGGACGCAAGUCUGAACCAGCCAUGCCGCGUGCAGGAUGACGGCUCUAUGAGUUGUAAACUGCUUUUGUACGAGGGUAAACGCAGAUACGUGUAUCUGUCUGAAAGUAUCGUACGAAUAAGGAUCGGCUAACUCCGUGCCAGCAGCCGCGGUAAUACGGAGGAUUCAAGCGUUAUCCGGAUUUAUUGGGUUUAAAGGGUGCGUAGGCGGUUUGAUAAGUUAGAGGUGAAAUUUCGGGGCUCAACCCUGAACGUGCCUCUAAUACUGUUGAGCUAGAGAGUAGUUGCGGUAGGCGGAAUGUAUGGUGUAGCGGUGAAAUGCUUAGAGAUCAUACAGAACACCGAUUGCGAAGGCAGCUUACCAAACUAUAUCUGACGUUGAGGCACGAAAGCGUGGGGAGCAAACAGGAUUAGAUACCCUGGUAGUCCACGCAGUAAACGAUGAUAACUCGUUGUCGGCGAUACACAGUCGGUGACUAAGCGAAAGCGAUAAGUUAUCCACCUGGGGAG
RNAcentral lists this ribosomal RNA (752 nucleotides) under uncultured bacterium. RNAcentral's name for it is "bacterial SSU rRNA". It matches the Rfam family "Bacterial small subunit ribosomal RNA", at positions 127 to 880 of the family's 1533-position model. The record is from RNAcentral.